GGAAUUAUUGGGCGUAAAGCGUCCGCAGGGGGCGCAUCAAGUCUGCUGUUAAAGGUCGGAGCUAAACUCCGGUAGAGCAGUGGAAACUGGUGCGCUAGAGGGCGACAGGGGUAGAGGGAAUUCCCAGUGUAGCGGUGAAAUGCGUAGAGAUUGGGAAGAACACCGGUGGCGAAAGCGCUCUACUGGGUCGCACCUGACUCUCAGGGACGAAAGCUAAGGUAGCGAAAGGGAUUAGAUACCCCUGUAGUCUUAGCCGUAAACGAUGGAUACUAGGCGUGGUUUGUAUCGACCCAAGCCGUGCCGAAGCUAACGCGUUAAGUAUCCCGCCUGGGGAGUACGCACGCAAGUGUGAAACUCAAAGGAAUUGACGGGGGCCCGCACAAGCGGUGGAGGAUGUGGUUUAAUUCGAUGCAACGCGAAGAACCUUACCAGGGCUUGACAUCCCGCGAAUCUCUCGGAAAGGAGAGAGUGCCUACGGGAACGCGGAGACAGGUGGUGCAUGGCUGUCGUCAGCUCGUGUCGUGAGAUGUUGGGUUAAGUCCCGCAACGAGCGCAACCCUCGUCCUUAGUUGCCAGCAUUAAGUUGGGCACUCUAGGGAGACUGCCGGUGACAAACCGGAGGAAGGUGAGGAUGACGUCAAGUCAGCAUGCCCCUUAUGCUCUGGGCAACAUACGUCCUACAAUGGUCGGGACAAAGGGGAGCAAGCUCGCGAGAGUAAGCGAAUCCCAGCAAACUCGGCCUCAGUUCAGAUAGCAGGCUGCAACUCGCCUGCUGAAGGAGGAAUCGCUAGUA
RNAcentral lists this ribosomal RNA (793 nucleotides) under uncultured organism. RNAcentral's name for it is "bacterial SSU rRNA". It matches the Rfam family "Bacterial small subunit ribosomal RNA", at positions 547 to 1340 of the family's 1533-position model. The record is from RNAcentral.